This is a long non-coding RNA of Gorilla gorilla gorilla (western lowland gorilla), 1672 nucleotides long. RefSeq lists it as uncharacterized. NCBI's taxonomy places the organism in Eukaryota, Metazoa, Chordata, Mammalia, Primates, Hominidae. The transcript has 6 exons. The record is from RefSeq and is a predicted model, not a curated record.
GUUUACUGGGACUUAUCAACUGCUAAUGCAGUCCAGGAGUAAGCAAAUGGCUGGGCAGCAGUAUUUCUUGGGAUAUGCUCUAAGGUAGCCACUGUCAUAAUGUCCCUUCCAGAUCUUAGUUUGGGAAUUGGCCAAUAUAUCCAUCAGAUGGGCACAAAGAAGAGCAAAAACAAUGGCAGGAAUGUGAUGAGAAGAAAGGUCAAUGGAUGCCUGGUGAUGUGUGCCCACAGACCAAGAGCACUGGGUAAGAGGGGACUGUGACAGGAAAACCUCAGUUUAGUCCCCUCAGAAUAGGUUUGAGCCAUCUUCCUCCUCUAAGGAGUUUGCUGCAGACAACAUCAACAACCAGCUUCUCAACUACAUUUCUUCCUACCUUAAAAUUGUGAAGCCAUUAUGACCUGAUGUUACAGGAGAUCAUCUAAGCAAUAAUCCCCCUUUCCGGCACUACAGGACACAGGGAAAGCCUGCAAUUUAUGGAAUAUCUGAUGGCUCAGCUUUCCCCUCCUUUCCUCAGAGUCAUGAUGCCAUGUUCACAUUAAGGUGCACUGAGAAGGGGAGAAUGAUGUAUGGCCUGCAGUCCUUCAACUUUCCAGUCAUCUCCACCCUAAGAAAGGCUAGUGAUGAGUCGGCAAGCAUUAGUUGACAGAGAGUCAAAUUAUCAACAGGAUUAAAAAUAAAUAAAUAAAGUGCUCCAGCAACGCUUCCUAAGAAGACCAGCGGGAAGGGCUUACAGACGAGAACUACUCUAUACCCCAGGAGUUUCUGCUGGAAAUAUAGUUUGGUUAACUGGAAAUCCAGGGCGCUGCAGCAUUUAAAGGUAAAACUACAGAAACCCAUUACCAUCUUUAUUUUUGGUUCCGCUGCCUCAGCCAAGCCAUCCAGGUGAGGGUUAAUAAACAGAGAAAACCUGGAGAGGUUCCAAAUAAAGUGAGAACUAUAAAGACAAAGGCCAACGCUGCAAACAUCUCAGCCAGAAAGAACACUCUUAGCACCCUACAAGCAGGUAUGUGCUUACCAGCAAACUAAAGCAAAUGGAAAUUAAGAAGCAUGAUCGCCACCAGCAAGGUGCUUGCUGAACUAUAAGCCUUCAGAUGGUCAGAUAAAGUACCUGAUGCUGAAAAACAGGAAAUUGAAUCAUGUCUCCAAAAUGUGCCUUUUGUCAUGCACUGUUACAGCUAUAUUUCUUGCUCUUUAGGCCUUAAUGAUUGACAUGAUCUUGGAAAACAGUUAGGUAUGUAGCAAAACUCUCCUAGAAACCUGAAAGAUGUGGCAAGAAGAAAACAUGGAGCCUUUUCUGAACAAGCCUAUGAGAGAAGAAGAAUCACUUCAAUUUAUAAGUGUGGAUUCUGGGGCUAAAGAACUUACAUACAACCACACAGCCAGCAAAUUACUGACCCAGCAUAUUCUGAACCCAGGUCUUUAUUCUUUCCAAGACUUCACAGCGCCUUCCUCAGAGCAUCUCUACAUGAAAAUCUGUAUAAAGAAGUGAUCUGUAGUGUCACCAUUUGUAUCAAAAUGGUAUCACAAACUUAUUUAAAAGACUUUAUCUAAAAGUCUUCAGAUAGAGUUUUGGCCAGGGAAGAGCUCUAAUAUCACACAUUAAUAACCUCACCUUUGUAACAUGUAAAUUGUUUUUUGUUUUAACAUCUCAGUUUCAUUAAACUGAGACCAG